This 279-nucleotide ribosomal RNA is filed under the name uncultured bacterium. RNAcentral describes it as "partial 16S ribosomal RNA". It matches the Rfam family "Bacterial small subunit ribosomal RNA", at positions 506 to 784 of the family's 1533-position model. The record is from RNAcentral.
UGCCAGCCGCCGCGGUAAUACAGAGGGUGCAAGCGUUAAUCGGAAUGACUGGGCGUAAAGGGCGUGUAGGUGGAAAGCUAAGUCGAAUGUGAAAUCCCCGGGCUUAACCUGGGAACUGCAUCCGUUACUGGUUAUCUAGAGUAUGAGAGAGGGAAGUGGAAUUUCCGGUGUAGCGGUGAAAUGCGUAGAGAUCGGAAGGAACACCAGUGGCGAAGGCGGCUUCCUGGGCCAAUACUGACGCUGAGGUGCGAAAGCGUGGGGAGCAAACAGGAUUAGAUA